AUGGACAAACUGUCGGGGUCGGGGAAGAAGGCUCGACUCAAAGGCUCCGCCGUGGUCCUCAGCCGAAAGGUGCUCGACGCCAACGACCUCACUGCCACCGUCGUCGACAACAUCCACGAGAUCCUCGGCAACAGCAUUACCUGCCAGCUCGUCAGCGCCACCGUCACUGAUCCAAACAAUGGCGGCAGGGGCAUCGUGGGGUCAGAAGCGGCCCUGCAGCAGUGGCUGGCCAACCUGCCGUCCCUGACCUGCACGGGGGAGUGCAAGUUCAAGGUGAGGUUCGACUGGGAGGUGAAGAAGCAGGGCGUGCCCGGUGCCAUCAUCGUCAAGAACAACCACAGCACCAAGUUCUUCCUCAAGACCCUCACCCUCGACCACGUCCCCGGCCGCGGCACCAUCGUCUUCCUUGCCAACUCCUGGGUCUACCCCACCACCAAGUACCACUGCAACCGCGUCUUCUUUGCCAACGACUCCUACUUGCCGAGCGAGAUGCCGGAGGGGCUGAGGCCGUACCGCGAGGACGAGCUCCGGUGCCUGAGAGGGGACGACAAGCAAGGGCCGUACCAGACGCACGACCGCAUCUACCGCUAUGCCGUCUACAACGACCUCGGCGAGCCAGACCGGGACGGUGGUGGCAGCGCCCGUCCGGUCCUGGGCGGCUCCUCGGAGCACCCUUACCCACGGCGCGGCCGCACGGGCCGGAGCCCGUCAAAGAAGGACCCAAGAUCGGAGAGCAGGCUGACCCUGCUGGAGCAGACGUACGUGCCGAGCGACGAGCGGUUCGCGCACCUCAAGAUGGCGGACUUCGCCGGGUACUCGCUCAAGGCCAUCGUGCAGGGCGGCGGCCUGAAGCUUCCCAACAUCCCGGCGCUCAACGAGCUGCGCAAGAGCUUCCCCAUACAGCUCAUCAAGGAGCUGCUGCCGGUCGGCGGCGACUACAUGCUCAAGCUCCCCAAGCCAGACAUCAUCAAAGAGAACGAGUCUGCCUGGAGGACGGACGAGGAGUUCGCCAGAGAGAUCCUCGCCGGCGUGAACCCCGUAUCCAUCACGCGUCUCACGGAGUUCCCUCCGAAAAGCAGCCUUGAUCCUAGCAAGUACAGCGACCAGACCAGCACAAUAACUGCACAUCACAUUGAGAAGAGCCUAGAAGGCCUCAGCGUUCAACAGGCAUUGGAUGGCAAGAAGCUCUACAUCCUUGACCACCACGACCAUUUCAUGCCGUUCCUGCUGGACAUCAACAGCCUCGACGGUGUCCACGCCUACGCCACCAGGACCCUCCUCUUCCUCCGAGGUGACGACACCCUCAAGCCGCUGGCCAUCGAGCUGCUGGCACCAGCUCGUCAGCCACUGCUCAGCGUGGUGCAUCCGCUGUUCAAGCUCCUCCAGCCGCACUACCGGGACACCAUGACCAUCAACGCCCUGGCGCGCCAGACGCUCAUCAACGCCGGCGGCAUUUUCGAGCAGACUGUCUUCAUGGGCAAGCACUCGCUGGCCAUCUCCUCCGUGGUUUACAAGGACUGGAACUUCACCGACCAGGCCCUGCCAGACGAUCUCAUCAAGAGUAGUGCAACGUCGCCUCUUGAAGAGCCGACAGUAACAAGAACUGCAAAUUGUGUACCAACACUAUCAGGUGAGAACACCAAUCCAAGAAAUGAGGCGUGGCCGUGGAGGACCCGUCGCUCCCCGGCAAGGUGCGGCUGCUGCUCAAGGACUACCCCCUACCCCACCGACGGCCUGGCCAUCUGGCAGGCCAUCGAGGAGUGGGUCACAGACUACUGCGCCAUCUACUACAAGGAUGAAAAGGCCGUCAAGGGCGACGAGGAGCUGCAGGCGUGGUGGAAGGAGGUGCGCGAGGUCGGGCACAGUGACCUCAAGGACGCCGCCUGGUGGCCGGCGAUGCAGACCGUGGCGGAGCUCACCAAGGCAUGCGCCACCAUCGUGUGGAUCGCGUCGGCGCUCCACGCGGCCGUCAACUUCGGGCAGUACUCAUACGCGGGCUACGUCCCGAACCGGCCGACGGUGAGCCGCCGGGCGAUGCCGGACCCGGGGUCGGAGGAGUACGCGGAGUUGGAGCGCGAGCCGGAGCGCUUCUUCAUCCGCACCAUCACCAGCCAGCUGCAGACCCUGCUGGGCAUCUCGCUGCUGGAGAUCCUGUCCAAGCACUCAUCCGACGAGAUAUACCUCGGGCAGCGGGACACGCCGACGUGGACGUCGGACGCGGAGGCGGUGGGGGCGUUCGGGCGGCUCGGCGAGAACCUGGUGCGGAUCGAGAGCGAGGUGGUGGGCAGGAACAGCGACCCCUUGCUCAAGAACCGGAUCGGCCGGCCAACUUCCCCUACACGCUGCUGUACCCCAACACGUCGGACGACAAGGGCACGGCCGCCGGGAUCACCGCCAAGGGCAUCCCCAACAGCAUCUCCAUAUGAUAAUACUCUGUGA
This 2439-nucleotide ribosomal RNA is filed under the name Triticum aestivum (bread wheat). RNAcentral's name for it is "partial small subunit ribosomal RNA". The record is from RNAcentral. Lineage: Eukaryota; Viridiplantae; Streptophyta; Magnoliopsida; Poales; Poaceae.